Monomorium pharaonis (pharaoh ant) is the source of this 2565-nucleotide long non-coding RNA. RefSeq lists it as uncharacterized. The transcript is spliced from 2 exons. NCBI's taxonomy places the organism in Eukaryota, Metazoa, Arthropoda, Insecta, Hymenoptera, Formicidae. The record is from RefSeq and is a predicted model, not a curated record.
ACAUUUAAAUUGUUAUCUUUGUAAUCCAUGAAAAUAAUGUUGAUGUAAACUUUAUUGCACUUUUCGAAAAAUAUGAGUUACAGAAUUGUGUCACAAGAAAUGCAAAUGUAAUCUGUGACCAAAAGGUAUAUAUACCACUCAUAUAUAUAAUUACUGUUUGCGACGCCAUAAGUAUCACGUUACGGUAUUAGCAACCGCGCUUAAUUCGAGGCACUUAGGUGACGUUGAAAUUAUUUUGGUAAAACCGACAAUCACACGAGCUUCUUCUCGGCACAUAAAUCGCUCGUGCAAUUACCGUUCCAUUCGCGAAACGAAAAUUACAUUGUGCUAUAUGACUGUGCCAAAUUUCAUUAUAAUCUGAACGUAAUAUCCAUUUCAGUUUUUAUUAACCCUUAGGGUCCAACCAUGGUAUUCCGGAUCCGACUAGAUUUCUAUUUAUGGAAAUUUCUCGGAAUUCCAAAAAUACUCAUUUGAAAUUGAUUUCAAAUUAUUCAAAUUUCAGAGAUAUUUACAAAACUUUCGAGCAAGAUGAUUUGGGAAGAUGCCACACUUUAGGACUUUUUGUUGAAAUAGUUUUAUUAUAGCAUCAAGUUACAAAAAAAUUAACAUUUUUGUGAUCUUUAUUUAUUCAUGCAAAUAAAAUAAUUACAUUUUUAAUAUUCCAAAUUUUUUAGGAAAAAAAAUUAAAUCUUGCAAAACUGGUAUUUUCCCCAAACGUAUAUACAUAUGGGUAAGAUGUUACCUGCUAUGAAAAAAGAUGUCACAACCAUUUAAAUAACAUGAAAUAAUAGAAACUUGCAUUCUUUGCUUAUGUAUAGUAGACAGUCAAGUUUAAAUUAUAAAAACAUAAAAAUGUGAUAAAAUAUUAAUUGGUUUUUGGGAAGCAACUUAUUUCUUAUUUUUAUAAUGCUAGAGUUUAGCCUUUUAAAUUUAACGUUAUCAAAUCAAAUACUAUUAAAAGCAUAUUUAACAAUUUACCUUUUUAUAUUCUUACAAAUCUUUACUGAUCCUUAUUAAUAUUGGAAUUUGUCUUUAUAAUCAGUGCUUUUCGUAUGUAAGUCUAGCACACAUUUAUACGUCAGAUUAGUUAAUUUCCGAUUUAUGAAGAAAUUAUAAUCAAAGUGGCUUCUUCCCUUGACUUCUCUUAUCUUUGAUUUAUAUUUAUAAAUAUGAAUUGUUAGCAAUUGCUCAUGAUAUGUGAUCUAUUUUUUAAAUUAAGGUAUAUCUGCUAAUAAGUUAUCUUGUUUGUUGUUACAGGGGCUUCGGAAAACAGGGAUAUCAGUGCCAAGUCUGUAGUUUCGUCGUUCACAAACGAUGUCACGAAUACGUGACCUUUACGUGUCCGGGAGCUGACAAAGGCGCAGACUCGGACGUGAGUACUGAAAUUAUAUUUAAUGCCAAAUAUGUCUCUCUUCUCUUCAUACCCUUCUUAAUGCGCAGAUUAUCUCACCUUUUCUUCCUUUUGUCUUCAGCCAAGGUUUUUCUCUCACAAGUUUUUGAUGAGUAUGAGCUUCCGCGACCUAGAUCUCACAUAUGAACGAUUUGUCUAAAACUUUAAUCUUGAUAAAUUUCAUGAGUGUAAGAUGCGCUAUAUGGAAUUUAAUAAUAAUGUUAAUUGCAUUAUAAUUGUAUUAUUUAUUAAAUAUUCUAUAUUUUUUAAAAUUUUCAUUUGCGUUACUAACUUUACGUGUUUUAGAAAAUUGAAAAACUUUACUCUUAUAUACAUAUAAAACAUGUUUAGUAUAAGUAAAAAAUUUGGAUAAAAUUUUAUUUUUUUAAUAAUAGCAAAGAGCUUUCAGCUAUAUCUUUUUUAAAACUUUUGAAAUUUUUGAAUUUUUGAACGCAAUGUUAAUUUGUCUCCUUUAAACGCUGUUUUGGUUAAGUUUUUUGUUACUUUUGCACUAAUAAUGGUCCGAGGACGGGUCAAAACAUUAGAAGUAUAACAAAAGUCUCUUUAUACCAGAAAUAGGUCACUGAGAGUGGCUUGAGGGCUGGUCAAGCUGGCUAGGAGAGUCAAAUAACUGUUUGACAUGUUAGCUUUUAAAGCCCCAUGCUUCGAGUAGGCACGUAACUCAUCAUCAUAGCUCUUUGAUACUUAAAAAGUCAAACUUCGUAAAAAAAGAAAAAUUUCACCAAUGUAUCAAAUAUCAUUAUGCCAUUUUAAUAAAAAGACAUUAUUUUUAUAAUAAAGACAUUUUUAGUCUGUGAUAGAUAAUGAUGUAGGAUAUUUUUUGCGUAAGUUAUAGGUCACAAAUUUGUCUUUUACAAAUGACAGAAAAUCGCAACGACGCUUUGUGAAAAUUAAUAUCUGUAUAAAAUCUAUGAUAAUUUAAGUCUAAAACCAAGUCGUUUAUCAUCAUUUUCGUAAUGUCAUGAGAAAUAUGGCUGAAACGAGAUUAUUUGAUUAUACUGCCGUGAUAAUAAAAACUUGAUAAAAUUACUAAUUUUUCUUGAGAAUUAAUAUGGAACUUUGUGACAAAAUUAUGAUAAAAUAUAAUUUGUUAUAAAAUUCAUCAAAAUACAAACGAUAAACUAUCGGUAGGAGAGUUACGUUUAUAAGAAAAA